UACGUAGGGUGCGAGCGUUAAUCGGAAUUACUGGGCGUAAAGCGUGCGCAGGCGGUUUUGUAAGCCGGAUGUGAAAUCCCCGGGCUUAACCUGGGAAUGGCAUUCGGGACUGCAAGGCUGGAGUGCGGCAGAGGAGACUGGAAUUCCUGGUGUAGCAGUGAAAUGCGUAGAUAUCAGGAGGAACACCGAUGGCGAAGGCAGGUCUCUGGGCUGACACUGACGCUGAGGCGCGAAAGCCAGGGGAGCGAACGGG
This 253-nucleotide ribosomal RNA is filed under the name uncultured bacterium. Its description in RNAcentral is "partial 16S ribosomal RNA". It matches the Rfam family "Bacterial small subunit ribosomal RNA", at positions 524 to 776 of the family's 1533-position model. The record is from RNAcentral.